GGAGUAACUAAAGUAACUAGUAACUAAAGCUGUAGCGGAGUAGAAGGAGAAAGUGGCAUGAAGAGAAAAAGAUCAAGUAAAGUACAAGUACCUCAACAUUUGGAGUGACAGUACAGUACUGGAGUACAUGUACUUAGUUACAUUCCAC
Molecule: long non-coding RNA, 148 nt
Organism: Etheostoma spectabile (orangethroat darter)
Lineage: Eukaryota; Metazoa; Chordata; Actinopteri; Perciformes; Percidae
Exons: 3
Source: RefSeq, a predicted model, not a curated record